AACGAACGCUGGCGGCAGGCUUAACACAUGCAAGUCGAACGCAUGCCUUCGGGCAUGAGUGGCAGACGGGUGAGUAACGCGUGGGAACCUACCCCUUGGUACGGGAUAGCUCCGGGAAACUGGAGAUAAUACCGUAUGUGUCCUGAGGGACAAAGAUUCAUCGCCAAGGGAUGGGCCCGCGUCGGAUUAGCUAGUUGGUGGGGUAACGGCCCACCAAGGCGACGAUCCGUAGCUGGUCUAAGAGGAUGAUCAGCCACAUUGGGACUGAGACACGGCCCAAACUCCUACGGGAGGCAGCAGUGGGGAAUAUUGGACAAUGGGCGCAAGCCUGAUCCAGCCAUGCCGCGUGAGUGAUGAAGGCCCUAGGGUUGUAAAGCUCUUUCACCGGUGACGAUAAUGACGGUAACCGGAGAAGAAGCCCCGGCUAACUUCGUG
Molecule: ribosomal RNA, 435 nt
Filed under: uncultured bacterium
Lineage: Bacteria
Description: partial 16S ribosomal RNA
Rfam family: Bacterial small subunit ribosomal RNA
Source: RNAcentral